AACGAACGCUGGCGGCAGGCCUAACACAUGCAAGUCGAACGCCCCGCAAGGGGAGUGGCAGACGGGUGAGUAACGCGUGGGAACGUACCUUUCGGUUCGGAAUAACCCGGGGAAACUCGGGCUAAUACCGGAUACGUCCGCAAGGAGAAAGAUUUAUCGCCGAAAGAUCGGCCCGCGUCGGAUUAGCUAGUUGGUGAGGUAACGGCCCACCAAGGCGACGAUCCGUAGCUGGUCUGAGAGGAUGAUCAGCCACACUGGGACUGAGACACGGCCCAGACUCCUACGGGAGGCAGCAGUGGGGAAUUUUCCGCAAUGGGCGAAAGCCUGACGGAGCAAUACCGCGUGAGGGAUGACGGCCUAUGGGUUGUAAACCUCUUUUUUCAGGGAGGAAUCAAUGACGUGUACCUGAAGAAUAAGCAUCGGCUAACUCCGUGC
RNAcentral lists this ribosomal RNA (435 nucleotides) under uncultured bacterium. Its description in RNAcentral is "bacterial SSU rRNA". It matches the Rfam family "Bacterial small subunit ribosomal RNA", at positions 29 to 508 of the family's 1533-position model. The record is from RNAcentral.